Molecule: ribosomal RNA, 506 nt
Filed under: uncultured bacterium
Lineage: Bacteria
Description: partial 16S ribosomal RNA
Rfam family: Bacterial small subunit ribosomal RNA
Source: RNAcentral
AGUGAACGCUGGCGGUAGGCCUAACACAUGCAAGUCGAACGGCAGCACAGGAGAGCUUGCUCUCUGGGUGGCGAGUGGCGGACGGGUGAGGAAUACACCGGAAUCUACUCUGUCGUGGGGGAUAACCUAGGGAAACUUACGCUAAUACCGCAUACGACCUACGGGUGAAAGCAGGGGACCUUCGGGCCUUGCGCGAUUGAAUGAGCCGAUGUCGGAUUAGCUAGUUGGCGGGGUAAAGGCCCACCAAGGCGACGAUCCGUAGCUGGUCUGAGAGGAUGAUCAGCCACACUGGAACUGAGACACGGUCCAGACUCCUACGGGAGGCAGCAGUGGGGAAUAUUGGACAAUGGGCGCAAGCCUGAUCCAGCCAUACCGCGUGGGUGAAGAAGGCCUUCGGGUUGUAAAGCCCUUUUGUUGGGAAAGAAAUCCAGCUGGCUAAUACCCGGUUGGGAUGACGGUACCCAAAGAAUAAGCACCGGCUAACUUCGUGCCAGCAGCCGCAGUAA